Cucumis melo (muskmelon) is the source of this 1342-nucleotide long non-coding RNA. RefSeq lists it as uncharacterized. The record is from RefSeq and is a predicted model, not a curated record. Lineage: Eukaryota; Viridiplantae; Streptophyta; Magnoliopsida; Cucurbitales; Cucurbitaceae. The transcript has 2 exons.
GCUUUAUAAAUAGAGGAAGACAGAGGUGGGAGAAAGCCAAAAGACUUUGCACUUGUUGGCCGCUACUAUCAAGAAAAAUAUCAUUUUUUUUGCAACCUCAUAUACAGAAGGAACGAAACCUCAUAUCACUUUUUUCGUCGCCUUCGUCGUUGGACCGUCGCAGCGUCUUUGUUGGCUGAAGAGUUUAAUAUCUGUUAGUUUGUUAGGAUUACACCUUGCACCAACUUGAAGCUCUAUCAAAGGUUAAGGCCCAUUUUUUAUUAUUAUCAAUGACUUUUUUUUGUAAGCUAUGUCUUUGAAGGUCUCAUGCAAGUAUAUAUGAAGUUGCAAGCAUAUAUGAAGUUACUCUCCUCGACGUCUUUUCUUUGAAUCGCUUCUUGGAUUUGUUCAUGAUAGACGAUGCAACUAUAUCAUGACGCCCACUGCUUAUUCAACUUCUAGGGUUUGUUCAUGAUAGACGAUGCUUCUUCAACUUUUGGGAUUUGUUCAUGAUAGACGAUACAACUCUCUCAUGACGCCCUGCGGCUUCUUCGACUUCGGAGAUUUGUUCAUGAUAGACGAUGCAACUCUAUCAUGACGUCUUAUUGCUUCUUCGACUUCGACUUCGGAGAUUUGUUCAUGAUAGACGAUGCAACUCUAUCAUGACGUCUUAUUGCUUCUUCGACUUCUGGGAUUUGUUUAUGAUAGAUGAUGCAACUCUAUCAUGAUGUUCACUGCUUUUUCGGCUUCUGAAGUUUGUUCAUGAUAGACGAUGCAACUCUAUCAUGACGUCUACUGCUUUAGCUACUUUGUUUUCACAUAUUUUUUGUUCCAAGACCAUGUCAUUAGUACUAAUUUACUUCUGGCGAUCUUUCAUUUUCAGAAGGAUGAUUUACUUCACAGAAUGAUUCUUGUCUAGAGUCCGACACCUUGUAAUACUUUAUGAUAGGAAUCAACCAAGGGUAGAUGGACUUAGCCUCCUUGUAGAGAAGCUAUGGGCUGACCCUUUUGCAGAUCAUUGGCCACGCUUAGACAAUAACUCAAUUCUUCCCAGAUUAUUUGUGGAGAUACCUUUGUCUAAGGGAAAAAAUGCAUGGGUCUUGCAGUCUUGUAUCCAUAACGAGGCUUCCAAUUCAGAUAGAGCUCUCACUCUCGGACAUCGUCUAAUUGAAGGCCAAACACGCUGCGGCGCCGUGUCCACGGAUACUGAAGAGUUCUACUUUACUGAUUACUAUUAGGAGUGGCUAGAGCUUGUAGUUGGUCGAAAUGUGUGACUUUUUUACAAUGCUUGUUUAUAUGGUGUCGUAACAGCUUCUUUGUACACCUAUGAUCUAAUAGUGAUGUUAUUCAAGCAUUUUGUGAA